Molecule: unclassified non-coding RNA, 337 nt
Filed under: soil metagenome
Description: partial contains 5.8S ribosomal RNA, internal transcribed spacer 2, and large subunit ribosomal RNA
Rfam family: 5.8S ribosomal RNA (bases 1-120)
Source: RNAcentral
GAUGAAGAACGCAGCGAAAUGCGAUAAGUAAUGUGAAUUGCAGAAUUCAGUGAAUCAUCGAAUCUUUGAACGCACAUUGCGCCCUCUGGUAUUCCGGAGGGCAUGCCUGUUCGAGCGUCAUUUCGACCCUCAAGCAUUGCUUGGUGUUGGGGCACCGCCUGUAAAAGGGCGGGCCCUGAAAUCUAGUGGCGAGCUCGCCAGGACCCCGAGCGUAGUAAUUAUAUUUCGUUCUGGAAGGCCCUGGCGGUGCCCUGCCGUUAAACCCCCAACUUCUGAAAAUUUGACCUCGGAUCAGGUAGGAAUACCCGCUGAACUUAAGCAUAUCAAUAGCGGAGGA